CUGUGCUGUUUCCUACUACAGGACAAUAUUUUGGAGGUUAGUUGAUGAAGCAGAUGAAGAUAUUAUUUUUUAACUUUUGGACACCUGGAUUCAAAGCAAAAGUAAUUUUGCACUGUCAUCCAAGUUCUCAGCUGUCCAUUCUACAAAAUCUGGCAUAAAUAGCCUGUGGAGGGACCCAGGAUCUGCAGAGCAGAAUUCAGCAUCUCACUGUGCUUGCUGGUGGCUGCACAAAGACUGUAUCACUUCUCAUGGUCAUGUUUUUUUGGCUCAACAAGUUGACUUGGGUCAACAAAGGCUGUGAAGACCAAGGGAAGAAGCAGGACAGCACAGCCAGGCAAGAGGGAUGGCAAACAGAGCAUUGUCUCCUUUUAUGAAGGGAUCCCUUUCUGGCUCUGUGACGAAAUACUCACCGAUUUCACAAUGGAGGGAAUUCCCCACUCUGUGCUCAGGAGCCUGUGGCUGUGCAGCUUCCCACUGGGAUCCACGUGUCUGUCCAGGACAUCGACUCCAACCACGCUGGGGUUCAUGGGAUUUGGAUAUUUCCUCAUGGCAGCUGUGGUCACAGUUUCCCAGGGGUGGCUGACAAAACAGAAGCAGGACACAAACUUGUACACCUUCAGUUUUAACAGG
Molecule: long non-coding RNA, 630 nt
Organism: Chiroxiphia lanceolata (lance-tailed manakin)
Lineage: Eukaryota; Metazoa; Chordata; Aves; Passeriformes; Pipridae
Exons: 3
Source: RefSeq, a predicted model, not a curated record